Molecule: ribosomal RNA, 495 nt
Filed under: uncultured bacterium
Lineage: Bacteria
Description: partial 16S ribosomal RNA
Rfam family: Bacterial small subunit ribosomal RNA
Source: RNAcentral
UGAACGCUGGCGGCGUGCCUACUACAUGCAAGUCGAGCGAACGGACGAGAAGCUUGCUUUUCUGAUGUUAGCGGCGGACGGGUGAGUAACACGUGGAUAACCUACCUAUAAGACUGGGAUAACUUCGGGAAACCGGAGCUAAUACCGGAUAAUAUUUUGAACCGCAUGGUUCAAAAGUGAAAGACGGUCUUGCUGUCACUUAUAGAUGGAUCCGCGCUGCAUUAGCUAGUUGGUAAGGUAACGGCUUACCAAGGCAACGAUGCAUAGCCGACCUGAGAGGGUGAUCGGCCACACUGGAACUGAGACACGGUCCAGACUCCUACGGGAGGCAGCAGUAGGGAAUCUUCCGCAAUGGGCGAAAGCCUGACGGAGCAACGCCGCGUGAGUGAUGAAGGUCCUCGGAUCGUAAAACUCUGUUAUUAGGGAAGAACAUAUGUGUAAGUAACUGUGCACAUCUUGACGGUACCUAAUCAGAAAGCCACGGCUAACUACGUG